CACCAUUAAUUGCACCGCUUGGGAGAACACUUGCUGAAUGCAAUAACAAUCGAACACUUCAUCUUGAGGCUUACUUUUCAUUUGAAAUUUACAUGCACAAAAACUACAAAAAAUGAUGAGAUGAAAGCACGUAGCAUAUUUGGAUUUGAAUGGUCUGAACCCUUGGUUACAUUUGCACUCUCCUGUGGAAGCUGUUCUUUUCCUGCUGUAAGUUUGUAUUCACUCAAGGUGAUAUUCUUAAUUUGUGGGGGAAGUCCCAAGUUUUUUUUUUUUUUUUUUAAUAUUUUGGACCAUGAGAGUAUAAUUCAUGGGUUCACAGAC
Long non-coding RNA from Juglans microcarpa x Juglans regia, 321 nucleotides. RefSeq lists it as uncharacterized. The record is from RefSeq and is a predicted model, not a curated record. The transcript has 2 exons. NCBI's taxonomy places the organism in Eukaryota, Viridiplantae, Streptophyta, Magnoliopsida, Fagales, Juglandaceae.